RNAcentral lists this ribosomal RNA (1124 nucleotides) under Bifidobacterium breve. RNAcentral's name for it is "bacterial SSU rRNA". It matches the Rfam family "Bacterial small subunit ribosomal RNA", at positions 31 to 1169 of the family's 1533-position model. Lineage: Bacteria; Bacillati; Actinomycetota; Actinomycetes; Bifidobacteriales; Bifidobacteriaceae. The record is from RNAcentral.
GAACCCCAUGGGCCGUGCUUACACAUGCAAGUCGAACGGGUAUCCAUCGGGCUUUGCUUGGUGGUGAGAGUGGCGAACGGGUGAGUAAUGCGUGACCGACCUGCCCCAUGCACCGGAAUAGCUCCUGGAAACGGGUGGUAAUGCCGGAUGCUCCAUCACACCGCAUGGUGUGUUGGGAAAGCCUUUGCGGCAUGGGAUGGGGUCGCGUCCUAUCAGCUUGAUGGCGGGGUAACGGCCCACCAUGGCUUCGACGGGUAGCCGGCCUGAGAGGGCGACCGGCCACAUUGGGACUGAGAUACGGCCCAGACUCCUACGGGAGGCAGCAGUGGGGAAUAUUGCACAAUGGGCGCAAGCCUGAUGCACCGACGCCGCGUGAGGGAUGGAGGCCUUCGGGUUGUAAACCUCUUUUGUUAGGGAGCAAGGCACUUUGUGUUGAGUGUACCUUUCGAAUAAGCACCGGCUAACUACGUGCCAGCAGCCGCGGUAAUACGUAGGGUGCAAGCGUUAUCCGGAAUUAUUGGGCGUAAAGGGCUCGUAGGCGGUUCGUCGCGUCCGGUGUGAAAGUCCAUCGCUUAACGGUGGAUCCGCGCCGGGUACGGGCGGGCUUGAGUGCGGUAGGGGAGACUGGAAUUCCCGGUGUAACGGUGGAAUGUGUAGAUAUCGGGAAGAACACCAAUGGCGAAGGCAGGUCUCUGGGCCGUUACUGACGCUGAGGAGCGAAAGCGUGGGGAGCGAACAGGAUUAGAUACCCUGGUAGUCCACGCCGUAAACGGUGGAUGCUGGAUGUGGGGCCCGUUCCACGGGUUCCGUGUCGGAGCUAACGCGUUAAGCAUCCCGCCUGGGGAGUACGGUCGCAAAGGCUAAAACUCAAAGACAUUGACGGGGGGCCCGCACAAGCGGCGGAGCAUGCGAAUUAAUUCGAUGCAACGCGAAGAACCUUACCUGGGCUUGACAUGUUCCCGACGAUCCCAGAAAUGGGGUUCCCUUCUGGCGGGUCACAGGUGGUGCAUGGUCGUCGUCAGCUCGUGUCGUGAGAUGUGGUAAGUUCCGCACGAGCGUAACCCUCGCCCGUGUGCAGCGGAUUGUGCGGGAAUCCCCGGGGAACCGUCGGGCUAAAUCGAAGA